AGGGUUUGAUCAUGGCUCAGAACGUACGCUGGCGGCACGCCUAACACAUGCAAGUCGAACGAAGUAGCAAUACUUAGUGGCAGACGGGUGAGUAACAUGUAGGUAUCUACCCUUUGGCCUGGAAUAACACGAGGAAACUUGUGCUAAUACCGGAUAAGUCUUUACGGAGAAAGCUUUAUGCACCAUUGGAUGAGCCUGCACUUGAUUAGUUUGUUGGUGGGGUAAUGGCCUACCAAGACUGUGAUCAAUAGCUGAUUUGAGAGGAUGAUCAGCCACAUUGGGACUGAGACACGGCCCAAACUCCUACGGGAGGCAGCAGUGGGGAAUCUUGCACAAUGGGGGAAACCCUGAUGCAGCGAUGCCGCGUGAGUGAAGAAGGCCUUUGGGUUGUAAAGCUCUUUCGUCGGGGAAGAAAAUGACUGUACCCGAAUAAGAAGGUCCGGCUAACUUCGUGCCAGCAGCCGCGGUAAUACGAAGGGACCUAGCGUAGUUCGGAAUUACUGGGCUUAAAGAGUUCGUAGGUGGUUGAAAAAGUUGGUGGUGAAAUCCCAGAGCUUAACUCUGGAACUGCCAUCAAAACUUUUUAGCUAGAGUAUGAUAGAGGAAAGCAGAAUUUCUAGUGUAGAGGUGAAAUUCGUAGAUAUUAGAAAGAAUACCAAUUGCGAAGGCAGCUUUCUGGAUCAUUACUGACACUGAGGAACGAAAGCAUGGGUAGCGAAGAGGAUUAGAUACCCUCGUAGUCCAUGCCGUAAACGAUGUGUGUUAGACGUUGGAAAUUUAUUUUCAGUGUCGCAGCGAAAGCGAUAAACACACCGCCUGGGGAGUACGACCGCAAGGUUAAAACUCAAAUGAAUUGACGGGGACCCGCACAAGUAGUGGAGCAUGUGGUUUAAUUCGAAGAUACGCGCAGAACCUUACCAACACUUGACAUGUUCGUCGCGACUUUAAGAGAUUAAAGUUUUCGGUUCGGCCGGACGAAACACAGGUGCUGCAUGGCUGUCGUCAGCUCGUGUCGUGAGAUGUUGGGUUAAGUCCCGCAACGAGCGCAACCCUCACUUUUAGUUGCCAUCAUUAAGUUGGGCACUCUGAAAGAACUGCCAGUGAUAAGCUGGAGGAAGGUGGGGAUGACGUCAAGUCCUCAUGGCCCUUACGUGUUGGGCUACACACGUGCUACAAUGGUAUAUACAACAGGAAGCAAGACGGCGACGUUAAGCAAAUCCUCAAAAGAUACCUCAGUUCGGAUUGCACUCUGCAACUCGAGUGCAUGAAGCUGGAAUUACUAGUAAUCGUGGAUCAGCGUGCCACGGUGAAUGCGUUCCCGGGUCUUGUACACACCGCCCGUCACACCAUGGGAGUUGGUUCUACCUUAAGGC
Molecule: ribosomal RNA, 1373 nt
Filed under: uncultured bacterium
Lineage: Bacteria
Description: bacterial SSU rRNA
Rfam family: Bacterial small subunit ribosomal RNA
Source: RNAcentral